Molecule: long non-coding RNA, 5475 nt
Organism: Cavia porcellus (domestic guinea pig)
Lineage: Eukaryota; Metazoa; Chordata; Mammalia; Rodentia; Caviidae
Exons: 5
Source: RefSeq, a predicted model, not a curated record
AGCACUGUCAGCCUCUGGCUAUAGUGGCAGAGCCUGCUGCUGUACAUGAUGGGAUGUGCCUCGGACUUACUAUUUAGCGAGGAUAGACCUGACCCAUUAUGAUUAGAGCGGCGGGUUGCUGUGGCGACGACACGGAGAAGGCUCCCGCACACCUGCACCGCCACCGGGCGCCGCCAGUGUGGACGCAGGCAUCCCUGGGGGCCGCUCUCUGCUGUGGGAAACACGACAACAACAACAAAAGGGAGGCAGGGAGAAGGGAAGACGGAGGAGGGGACGGGAGAAGGGAAGGGAGCGAUGCACCACUAGUUUCAGCAGUGACUAACAAAACAGGAUAGAAAUCCACAAGUCACACAGAUGGCGCCCCAGAAAAGGCGAGGAAGCCGUCUGCGGGCCUGCUGAGGAAGGCCAGCAGCAGAGGGACAGAUAGGCGCAUCCUCUGAGCCACUCCUGCGCCCACCAGAGAAGAACAAAACGUUAAACCAAGAACCUGGAUGCGACCAUUCUUAUGAAGAAAAACAAUAGGGGAAAAAACAGCUCAGAAAAACUUGAAUGCCUUGUCUUUGAGAAUUUAAACGUGCUAAUGAGGUUCUACAGGGAUCCACAUAGUGUGCAAACCCCAUGUAGCAAAGACUAGGCCAACUGCCGAAUGCAAAUCCUGAGAAAAUAAGCCGCAAGAACAUGCUGAAGAAAACUCAUGGUUACUGCAAGAUGACCCUGGCACGUGAGGCUCGCCCGCAGUGCUUCCUGUGUGGGAACAUAUUCUCCCAGCUGGGGAUUGUCUGCAAGCCUGCUGAACUGCAAUGAGAGCAGCUUUCCUCCCAAAGCCAGGAGCAUCUGCUUCUGAAAGUGCCCUUCUCCUCCCCUCCCUUCCAGAAUGCCCCCUCUUCAGAAAGUCCCACUUCUGUACAAGCAGGGCCUGGGAACAGGGAAUAUUCCUGAACUCAGCAUGUCUUCAUCCAGCACUGUAGCCAGGCAGUUCAGCUUUCUGAAAUGGUGCUUUCCGAUGAGAAAACACAGGACGGGGUGCAGUGUCGCCUCCAAUUUACAUUUCCCUCAAAAGCUCUGUGUUCCUGCAACAUUGUUCUCCAAGCCAACCACAAAUAACAACAGAGAAAAACAACGGAGUAAGCAAAAGUAAAAUGGACUAAAGGUAAACAUUCAGGACCAACAGAGGGAAGGAACUAAGGCUCGCCACAGGGCACACUAAAAAUCAGGAAUAAAAGAGAAAGACAGCUGCCUCCUCCACGGCUCUGCACGGCUGAGCCCUUCCCAGCAUGGACUUCAUCAGUGGCUGUCCUCCCACACUGUAGAAUGUGAAAGUCAUCUUUCAUGGAGAUAGGACAGAAUUACAGAUCGUAGGCAGACUUCUUGCAACUGUGUUAGAAGAGCCCAUCCUGGCAAGAGGAAACCGCAGGCAAUCUGUGCUUGGUUGAAAAUAUACUUUGCUUUAUUUUUUCUAAUGGACACUGUUGCAACAGAACAAAUAGAGAGUAGGCUCCUUUCUUUUUACAGGAUUUUAGAGGAUAAAGAAAUGACAAAGUUCAUCUAUUUGUCAAAUGUUUUGUAUGAACAAGAGAGAGCUCAGUCUCUUAAAAUUACAAUGUCAUAGCUUUUUGGGUCAAGCAUUUUUAAUAUAAUUUAGCAUAGGUACGUGUAAUAAAUCCUGGGAAACGACAAUGGAAAUUAGGUUUGUUCCCUCACUUUAAAUUUGGUAGAAGACAAGGAGAGUAUCCUGUCUUUUACCACGAGAGCUACUGUCUUAUCCACAGUAGGUUUGGUUAUUAUAAGCUUACAACCAAGAACAGAGAUUAAAGACACAAAACAGAAACAUAAAUAGGGUCAGAUGCCAAAAGAGUAAGUGGACGAAAAGGAACAAAAUUCAUAAAGCAAGCUGAGUUUAGAUUUUAGUCUGAGUGAAAUAUUGAGUUUGGAUAACAGGAUCCUGCAAAGCUGAGACUUGGAAUGCUCUAAUAGAGGGAUCUGGCAAGGCUGGGAAGAAACAUUCCAAAAUAAGAAGCAGUGAUAGCUAAUAAUAUAAAACAUGGUUUUAUCUCAGAAAUUAAAAAAAGGCAAAAAAUUUAAAGGAAAAGAAUUCAUAUUUUAAAAGUAUCCUCAGUACUGAGGAUUUGAAGGAAAUGAACUCAAAUUUUGAGGAAGGAAAUUGAAAAUAUGUAUAGCAAAUCUUCUGUUAUUUAUAAACAUUUAUCUUGGUCCAAAAGUAAGAGGUGUACAGAGGUUAUUGUCACCAUAUCUAUAUAUUAGAAAUCGAAAUGUUGUUGUUAAGAAAAUGCAAGAGAGUAACCAAGAAAAUUAUGGUAUAUGAACAAAUAGUGCCUUAGAACAAUUUCUAACCAUAGGAAAAUGGUUAUGCUAUGUUUGCUUGGUGAAAAAUAAGUGAUUUUAAUUUUGUGUGAAAGGUUCACUCUAAAAUGCUUCUAGCAGUUUUUCUAUGUUCAAGGAUUACAGGUGCCUUUUUAAAAUUUUCCCCUGAACCUCUAUCUUUUCAAAAUUUUCAAAAUGAAAAUUUAUAUGUUUUGAGCUUUUUAUUGAAAAAUAUUCCUUUUAUAAAAAUGUGUGCAAAUAAGAAUACCUUUCGGUAAACUUUAGGAGACUAAAGACAUCCUGGCAACAAGCACCCACUUGGAGAAACAGCAUCAGGAGUCCAGGAGUGUCAUUUCUUCUUCUUCCAGGUCUCUGUGCUUCCCACAGAGAUAAACAGAGAUAAAUGCCGACAUGUGACACCAUGGCUUAAUUUCUCCUUUGUGCCCUUUAGAUAAAAGAAUCACACAGCACACAAUCUUUUCUAUCUGGCAUCUUUCAUCUAAUGUUGAAAUGUUCCAAUUAGGCUAAAAACUGAUAGAAAGUUAAUUCAUUGUUUCUUGAUUUUCUUUUGUUGAUUCUAGGCCCUAUGGUCAUCCACCUUAGGUUUGUGCUCUGAUGCUAAGAUUGGUCCUAAAAUUGUCAAAAUCUCUCAGUUACAAAUGUUUCAUGAACUCAUGUAACACUUAUGCCUUCUUUUAGGAUAUUAAACAUCACCUGGUACCAUAUUCUAGGUUGCUGCAUCAAAUUUUUAAUCAAGUUGUCCAAUAUUUAAUUUGUGUGUCUUGUUUAUUUUAACUAAUAGUUAUUGGGUGGUUUCCAGGUUCCGGGCACAUUAGGACUAUGAGAUAACAAUAUUACUUCGUCCUAUAGGUGUGGGGAAGCAAAUUCAGAAGGAGAAUGAUCUCAAAGAGUAAGAAGGUGAUCGAAUCCCAGCCUGUGACUAGAAACCCCAUCUGCAGCAGGCCGCUGCAUUAAAUGGUCCUCUGGUGCCCCCACUUUUCCUCAUUGUUCAUAGUUGAUCUACUCACAGGAUCCAAAGGGCCUAGGGGAAAAAAUAUUCUUUUAUUUCCCCACCUAAACCAGCAUUUGCAGUUACUCACUAGAAUAAUUAUUUGAUUACUAAACAUGAAUGAGAUGAUCUUUUAUUUUUUUAUUCCACAGAAUGGUUAUAAAUAUUUUCUCCCAAUAAAGCAGUACUAUUCUGCCUUAUAUUGUUGGCCACCAUUAAGGUUUAGGAUUUUGAUUUUAAUAUUCUGUUAAGAAAAUAAAUUUAAUUGCUAGACAUAGCCAACAAUGUUAAGUAGAAAUAUAGAUAAAGCAAGUUAUAUACAAAUAGGAUCAUUUAAAACAUCGAUUGUCUACCCCUAUAGGAAAAAAUAAUUUUGAAAUAAAUUAAAAGUUAAAAGCUAUAGAAAUAAAAAUAUAAUUUAAAAAUAAAAUAAAUACUAUAGUAUGCAGAAGGAAUGAUUUGAGUUUUAGAACAUUAGCACCUUUUGAAAAAUGAAAAAUAUUCUUAGUUGUCUUGUAAGAAUGAAUAAUAUUGUUACAGUUGUUCUCAAGCUUUCAGUGGUGCAAACAUCUUGACAACUGUCAAAAUUGAUCUUUUUUUCACAUGUCCAUGUUCAAUAGACAGAAUAGGCAAAUGUGUCAAUGUAUUUUUGCACAUACUUAAUCAGAGAAUACAUUUAAUUAAAUUUUAGUGUCAGAAACUUUAUUUCACAUAAUUUGAAAUAACAUACAUUUGCAGAUAUUAUAAUAUUACUCAUGUCUUUUGGCUUUUAUUCUAGUAGCUUUUAAAUGUCGUUAGUCAAAUAGUUUUAAAUACAGAUUAUUAACUUUCUGUUUAAGCAUUUUCCAAAAUUCUAGUAUUUAAAUAACUUAAAUUCUGUGACUUGUUUGUUUCAUAAUCAUUGUACUUUCAUAGAUGCGCUCUUUAAAUUCAGAAAAACAGUAGUAUUAGAGAAAUGAACCCUGAAUGUAUGGGAUUCUUGCAUUAAUUUCUGUUAGAAUAUAAUGCUUAUAAAAUAUUAAUAAAUUCAUGCUUCCAGGCAUGGUAGCACAUACCUGUAAUCCCAGCACCCAGGAGGCUGAGGUAGAAGGAUCACCAUGAGUUCGAGGCCAACCUGGGUUAAUAGCGAGUUCAAAGCCAGCCUGAACUACAUAGCGAGACCCUAUUUCAAAUACAUACGUAUAUACAUACAUACUAUCUAAUUCAAGCUUCCUGUAUACAAUAUUAAAAAUUAACAGUAAACACAUUGAUAGGCCAAAUUGUGCUCCACCCGUUUUCAUAUGUUGAAGUUCUAACCUCUAGUACCUUAGAAUGAGACUAUCUAUAAUUGGAUUAUUAAAGAAUUGAGUUAAAACUGGCUCCUUAGAAUGAAGCCUAAUCCAAUAUGAUGAUGUUCCGAUGAAAAGAGGACACUAGACAGACACAAGAAAGUGUAAAGAUGCAAAAAAAAGUCUACAACAAGCCAUGUAUCAGUCAGUAUUUACCAGAGAAGCAGAUAUAACAUAAGAUAUACAAAUGUAGAAGAAAUUACAAGGUGGCUUACAAUGGCUGCCCACAGAGCUGGAUGAAGAAGCAUGCAGAGAUUGUGCACAGUGGAGAAAGAAGGACUCAGUCAAAGCUCUGGAGCUCAGUGCAGUGUCCCUGGAGAGUCUCUAUCAAGAGGCCUAUGGGUCUGCAGUGGAAGACUGAAGAAUCUGCGCUGAAGUCUGGCAGAUGGACUCCGAGAGCCAAAGGGUCAGCACUGAAGCCAGGAGAUAGCGGCUCAGGUGAGGGCAAAGACUACAGCUCUUCCAGAGAAACAGAAGCAGGUCCAUGUUUCUUCAUUUCCCCUUGAUACCACCCAGGUGACAAGCCACCCUAUGGCGGGUCUUCCACACCUAGGGUGUGGGAUUGCUGAACUGACUUAGUUAUACUUCUGUUACUCAGGUUGACACAACCAACCAUGACACAUGGAAAGAGAUCUCAGAAGAAAUCGGUGCAAUUGGCUUCAUGUUUUGGGACUUUUAUCUUUCCGAACUGUAAGACAAUGAGUUUUUUUUGUUGAAACUACCCAGUCUCUGGUACUUUGGUGUAGAAGUCCUAGCAAACUAAUACACAAAAAUCAUUCUUUAUAAUUUAGACUAAUAAAACAUCUUUUUCUUGGA